UGGCCUGAAGUCCAGGCGGGAGUUUCUGGGCAUAGGGGACUGUGUUGAAGUGUGGGGAGGAAACAAAGAUGAUUUGGCUUGAAACCGAUCCUUGUGUCUUAAUUAAGACUGGAGAUGCUUUGUCAAGAUCACUGGGAAAGAGGGAAGUUUACCAGAUCCAUUUGUCUCCUGAGGACAGCACACUUAAGCAGUGCUGUAUUUUCCCUUCAAUGUUUGGCUUCCCGCAACAUUCCACAGGACAAGCUUAAAGCUCACUGCCAGAAAUGCUGUUCCAUCCUCACCCCACAAGCUGCUGCUGGAGCCUUCUUGGAUCAUAGCCAGAGGGACAUCCUUCCCCUAUCAAAUUAAAAUACCCUGCUAGAACUCCAUCCUACACUUGCAAGCCAGUUGUCAGUCUUGAUGGAGCCCAGCCUUCAAGUUCCUUCCCAACCAAGCUGGGGGAGAGUGGCAGAUUUAUCUUUUCCAACAAAGCAAAAGGCCUCCGGGACCCUUUGAAGCGAGCAGAGGGGCCCAGGCAGAGGGCAGCUGGCUGGAGAACAGAUCCUGCUGGAGUACCCCCUGCAUAUUCUUCUCAUCCAGAUCACAAAGAAUUCCUCUCUUCAAAAGGCCCUUGUCCUAUAUUCAAAUAACCAUCACCCAGAACAAUAAGAAAUGAGUAACAAUGAUCUUUAAUUUUUGUUUUGUUUAUUAAACA
This is a non-coding RNA of Pogona vitticeps (central bearded dragon), 694 nucleotides long. Lineage: Eukaryota; Metazoa; Chordata; Lepidosauria; Squamata; Agamidae. The record is from RefSeq and is a predicted model, not a curated record.